UACAGAGGUCUCGAGCGUUGUUCGGAUUCAUUGGGCGUAAAGGGUGUGUAGGUGGCGCCGUAAGUCGGGUGUGAAAUUUCGGAGCUUAACUCCGAAACUGCAUUCGAUACUGCGGUGCUUGAGGACUGGAGAGGAGACUGGAAUUCAUGGUGUAGCAGUAAAAUGCGUAGAGAUCAUGAGGAAGACCAGUGGCGAAGGCGGGUCUCUGGACAGUUCCUGACACUGAGGCACGAAGGCCAGGGGAGCAAACGGG
This 253-nucleotide ribosomal RNA is filed under the name uncultured bacterium. RNAcentral describes it as "partial 16S ribosomal RNA". It matches the Rfam family "Bacterial small subunit ribosomal RNA", at positions 524 to 776 of the family's 1533-position model. The record is from RNAcentral.